AUUCCAAACGAACUUGGAGAUAGCUGGUUCUCUCCGAAAUAGCUUUAGGGCUAGCCUCGUGUGAAUGAUAAUGGAGGUAGAGCGCUGUUUGGACUAGGGGCCCGUCAGGGGUUACUGAAUCCAGAUAAACUCCGAAUGCCAGAUAUCAAUGCACGGGAGUCAGACUGCGAGUGAUAAGAUCCGUAGUCGAAAGGGAAACAGCCCAGAUCACCAGUUAAGGUCCCCAAAUCUAUGCUAAGUGGAAAAGGAUGUGGAGUUGCGUAGACAACUAGGAUGUUGGCUUAGAAGCAGCCACCAUUUAAAGAGUGCGUAAUAGCUCACUAGUCGAGUGACGCUGCGCCGAAAAUGUACCGGGGCUAAGCAUAGUACCGAAACUGUGGAUGCAUAUCAAAGGAUAUGCGUGGUAGGAGAGCGUUCUAAGAGCGGCGAAGUUAGAUCGAGAGGACUAAUGGAGCGCUUAGAAGUGAGAAUGCCGGUAUGAGUAGCGAAAGAUAGGUGAGAAUCCUAUCCGCCGAAAGACUAAGGUUUCCUGGGGCAGGCUCGUCCGCCCAGGGUAAGUCGGGACCUAAGGUAAGGCCGAGAGGCGUAGCCGAUGGACAACAGGUAGAGAUUCCUGUACUGAAAUUGUUCGAUAAGAGCAAAGGAGGGACGCAGGAGGCUAAUGACGCAUGUAGCUGGAAAAACAUGUGCAAGCAGUAAGAAAAAAGAUGAGUCAAAUGCUUAUGUUUAGAUUUCAAGCUGUGACGCGGAGUGAAAUCAAAGUAGCGAAGGUCAUGAUGUCACACUGCCAAGAAAAGCUUCUAGCCAGAGCAAUUUUACCCGUACCGCAAACCGACACAGGUAGUCGAGUGGAGAACACUCAGGUGAGCGAGAGAACUCUCGUUAAGGAACUCGGCAAAAUGACCCCGUAACUUCGGGAGAAGGGGUGCUGAGCGCAAGCUCAGCCGCAGUGAAUAGGCCCAGGCGACUGUUUAUCAAAAACACAGGUUUCUGCAAAAUCGUAAGAUGAAGUAUAGGGGCUGACGCCUGCCCGGUGCUGGAAGGUUAAGAGGAUGGGUUAGCGUAAGCGAAGCUCAGAAUUGAAGCCCCAGUAAACGGCGGCCGUAACUAUAACGGUCCUAAGGUAGCGAAAUUCCUUGUCGGGUAAGUUCCGACCCGCACGAAAGGCGUAACGAUCUGGGCACUGUCUCAACGAGAGACUCGGUGAAAUUGAAUUGCCUGUGAAGAUGCAUCCUCACCCGCGUUAUAAUUGUCAAUAUCGGUAAGUAAAGCUAUUUCUUCGAGAUAAUCGUUGAGGGUUGCAUCUUCAUUAUCUUCUUCGUAUCUGACAAGGUUUGAUUUAAGCUCGUUUAUAUUUUGCAUACGGUCGUCGAACUUUUCGGGAUUGGACCGAAGAUAGCCUACAUAACCGGUUUCUUCUAUAAUACUGUCAUAUAGCUCCGGCAAGCCCUCUGUUUCGGAGAGAGACAUCAGUCUAUCCAUCAUUGCAGUAAAUUGAAUCAGCUUUCCGGAGGUACGCUUUAACACCUCGUACUGAUCGGCGGUUUUUAAAACCUCAUAUAGCGUAAUACCGAGAGUUUCGGCUAUUUCGCCGGCUUUGGCAACCGUAGAAUCACCUAUACCGCGUUUCGGUACAUUUAUUAUUCGUCUCAAUCUUACAGAAUCGGACGGAUUGUUUAUAACGUUAAGAUAGGCAUGUAUGUCUUUGAUUUCGGCUCUGUCAUAGAACUUAUGACCGCCUAUAAUCCUGUACGGAAUGGCAUUUUUUACAAGUGCGCGCUCAAUAGAGUUUGACAUUGCGUUCAUCCUGUAAAGAACAGCAUGAUCGCUCCACUUUCUGCCCUUCGCCACAGAAUUUAAAAUUUGCUCGGCAAUAUAACGCGCCUCAUCUGUCUCAUCCGCAGCGGUGCUCAGUUCUAUUUUUUCUCCGCUGCCGUUUGCCGU
RNAcentral lists this ribosomal RNA (1944 nucleotides) under human gut metagenome. RNAcentral's name for it is "bacterial LSU rRNA". The stretch from base 1 to 1342 matches the Rfam family "Bacterial large subunit ribosomal RNA", at positions 826 to 2925 of the family's 2925-position model. The record is from RNAcentral.